Molecule: ribosomal RNA, 497 nt
Filed under: uncultured bacterium
Lineage: Bacteria
Description: partial 16S ribosomal RNA
Rfam family: Bacterial small subunit ribosomal RNA
Source: RNAcentral
GAUGAACGCUGGCGGCGUGCCUAAUACAUGCAAGUCGAGCGAACAUACGAGGAGCUUGCUCCUCUGACGUUAGCGGCGGACGGGUGAGUAACACGUGGAUAACCUACCUAUAAGACUGGUAUAACUUCGGGAAACCGGAGCUAAGACCGGAUAAUAUAUUGAACCGCAAGGUUCAAUAGUGAAAGACGGUUUUGCUGUCACUUAUAGAUGGAUCCGCGCCGCAUUAGCUAGUUGGUAAGGUAACGGCUUACCAAGGCGACGAUGCGUAGCCCACCUGAGAGGGUGAUCGGCCACAAUGGAACUUGAACACGGUCCAGAACCCUAAGGGAGGCCGCCGGAGGGAAUCUUCCCACAUGGGCGGAAGCCUGACGGAGCCACGCCGGGGGAGUGAUGAAGGUCUUCCGAUCGUAAAACCCUGUUAGUAGGGAAAAAAAAAUGUGGAAGUAACCAUGCACGUCUUGACGGUACCCUAUCAGAAAGCCACGGCUAAAUUCGUG